UUACUUCAGUUCGCUUCAAUGAAGUUAAGAGAGUUAAAUCAAACUGUACUGUGCUAAUGUUUUUUUCAUUUUCUCAACCAGAGAGGUGGUUGAGUACGUUUAAGCUCUACCAUGAAUUAAUGAUGGUCCCCGGCAUGUUUCUGUUGUUUUUGUUCGUGUUACUGUUAUUGAUUGAUUCAUAUCACCUGAACAACUCCUCUCUGCACUCAUUCUUUGUGAAAUAAAGGACGGUAGGAAAAGAAAACACCCUGACAAAACCACGUAAGCCGCCCGUCGUUUACCCAUCACCACACAGCCCCGGCUAGAUCACCCGUGACGUUCAUCUCCACCCUGCCUGCACACGUCUUCUUUAUCUGUCUUGUGCACUUUCAGGUGCUUUGGAUGGAUGACCUCAGAGCAUACCUCCAGCUCUCCAGACUCCCUGCUCUCACUACAGAUCACAGUGUCAUCUGCAAAUAUUAUAGUCCAUGGAGACUCCUGCCUGACCUCGCCUGUCAACCUGUCCAACAC
Haplochromis burtoni (Burton's mouthbrooder) is the source of this 510-nucleotide long non-coding RNA. RefSeq lists it as uncharacterized. The record is from RefSeq and is a predicted model, not a curated record. The transcript has 3 exons. NCBI's taxonomy places the organism in Eukaryota, Metazoa, Chordata, Actinopteri, Cichliformes, Cichlidae.